UACGGGGGGGGCAAGCGUUGUUCGGAAUUACUGGGCGUAAAGGGCUCGUAGGCGGCCAACUAAGUCGGACGUGAAAUCCCUCAGCUUAACUGGGGAACUGCGUCCGAUACUGGAUGGCUUGGAUUUGGGAGAGGGAUGCGGAGUUCCAGGUGUAGCGGUGAAAUGCGUAGAUAUCUGGAGGAACACCGGUGGCGAAGGCGGCAUCCUGGACCAAUAUUGACGCUGAGGAGCGAAAGCUAGGGGAGCAAACGGG
This 253-nucleotide ribosomal RNA is filed under the name uncultured bacterium. RNAcentral's name for it is "partial 16S ribosomal RNA". It matches the Rfam family "Bacterial small subunit ribosomal RNA", at positions 524 to 776 of the family's 1533-position model. The record is from RNAcentral.